RNAcentral lists this ribosomal RNA (410 nucleotides) under uncultured microorganism. RNAcentral's name for it is "bacterial SSU rRNA". It matches the Rfam family "Bacterial small subunit ribosomal RNA", at positions 509 to 917 of the family's 1533-position model. The record is from RNAcentral.
CAGCCGCCGCGGUAAUACGUAGGGGGCGAGCGUUGUCCGGAAUUAUUGGGCGUAAAGCGCGCGCAGGCGGUCCCUUAAGUCUGAUGUGAAAGCCCACGGCUCAACCGUGGAGGGUCAUUGGAAACUGGGGGACUUGAGUGCAGAAGAGGAGAGCGGAAUUCCACGUGUAGCGGUGAAAUGCGUAGAGAUGUGGAGGAACACCAGUGGCGAAGGCGGCUCUCUGGUCUGUAACUGACGCUGAGGCGCGAAAGGGUGGGGAGCAAACAGGAUUAGAUACCCUGGUAGUCCACGCCGUAAACGAUGAGUGCUAAGUGUUAGAGGGGUUAAACCCUUUAGUGCUGUAGCUAACGCGUUAAGCACUCCGCCUGGGGAGUACGGCCGCAAGGCUGAAACUUAAAGGAAUUGGCGGG